UACGAAGGGGGCUAGCGUUGCUCGGAAUCACUGGGCGUAAAGGGUGCGUAGGCGGGGCUUUAAGUCAGGGGGGAAAUCCUGGAGCUCAACUCCAGAACUGCCUUUGAUACUGAAGAUCUUGAGUUCGGGAGAGGUGAGUGGAGCUGCGAGUGUAGAGGUGAAAUUCGUAGAUAUUCGCAAGAACACCAGUGGCGAAGGCGGCUCACUGGCCCGAUACUGACGCUGAGGCACGAAAGCGUGGGGAGCAAACAGG
This 253-nucleotide ribosomal RNA is filed under the name uncultured bacterium. RNAcentral describes it as "partial 16S ribosomal RNA". It matches the Rfam family "Bacterial small subunit ribosomal RNA", at positions 524 to 776 of the family's 1533-position model. The record is from RNAcentral.